AGGAUGAACGCUGGCGGCGUGCCUAACACAUGCAAGUUGAGCGAUUUACUUCGGUAAAGAGCGGCGGACGGGUGAGUAACGCGUGGGUAACCUACCCUGUACACACGGAUAACAUACCGAAAGGUAUGCUAAUACAGGAUAAUAUAUUUGAGAGGCAUCUCUUGAAUAUCAAAGGUGAGCCAGUACAGGAUGGACCCGCGUCUGAUUAGCUAGUUGGUAAGGUAACGGCUUACCAAGGCGACGAUCAGUAGCCGACCUGAGAGGGUGAUCGGCCACAUUGGAACUGAGACACGGUCCAAACUCCUACGGGAGGCAGCAGUGGGGAAUAUUGCACAAUGGGCGAAAGCCUGAUGCAGCAACGCCGCGUGAGUGAUGAAGGCCUUCGGGUCGUAAAACUCUGUCCUCAGGGAAGAUAAUGACGGUACUUGAGGAGGAAGCCCCGGCUAACUACGUGCCAGCAGCCGCGGUAAUACGUAGGGGGCUAGCGUUAUCCGGAUUUACUGGGCGUAAAGGGUGCGUAGGCGGUCUUUCAAGUCAGGAGUGAAAGGCUACGGCUCAACCGUAGUAAGCUCUUGAAACUGGGAGACUUGAGUGCAGGAGAGGAGAGUGGAAUUCCUAGUGUAGCGGUGAAAUGCGUAGAUAUUAGGAGGAACACCAGUUGCGAAGGCGGCUCUCUGGACUGUAACUGA
RNAcentral lists this ribosomal RNA (689 nucleotides) under uncultured Clostridium sp. Its description in RNAcentral is "bacterial SSU rRNA". It matches the Rfam family "Bacterial small subunit ribosomal RNA", at positions 26 to 743 of the family's 1533-position model. Lineage: Bacteria; Bacillati; Bacillota; Clostridia; Eubacteriales; Clostridiaceae. The record is from RNAcentral.